This 77-nucleotide transfer RNA is filed under the name Promethearchaeota archaeon. RNAcentral's name for it is "Candidatus Lokiarchaeota archaeon (permafrost metagenome) tRNA-Val". It matches the Rfam family "tRNA". Rfam says of the family: Transfer RNA (tRNA) molecules are approximately 80 nucleotides in length. Their secondary structure includes four short double-helical elements and three loops (D, anti-codon, and T loops). The record is from RNAcentral. Lineage: Archaea; Promethearchaeati; Promethearchaeota.
GCGCGAGUGGUUUAGUGGCUAUAACGACACGCUCACACCGUGUAGGUCGGGGGUUCAAACAUUUCCCUCCUCGCGCA